CCUGAAUUAAGUUCUAAAACUGAUGUACUUGAUAUUGGAAAUGACUAUUCAAAACUAAACUGCAGGAUAUCAGCUGCUCAUGGCUUAGCCCUCACCCUGUGUCUGCUCCACUCUGGAUCUCUGCUCACACUGUCAGCAGCUACCCCAGAGAGCUAUUUAGAAACUGCAGUGUCUGGACAUUGAAGCAGCUCCACACCCAGUGUAUUCCCUUCAGAAAAUACCACUUAGGCUUGCAUUUUCAGGAAUCAUGCCGGUUUCUUAUUGAUUUGUAGGUGAAGUUCAUGGCAGGAGAUAGUUCCUAUCCUCAUGACAGUUGUAGCACAUGGUGCUGGAGGGAAUAGUGGGUCAGAGUGUGGUUCUUUACCCACAACAUGCUGCCUCCAUAGCACACUGUCUUCUGGGGAAUGUCUUCUGAAUGAGUGAAGAAGUGGGUUUAUAUUCUUUGGUUUCCAAUUUGGGAUACACAAAGGAGUAAAAAUUCUUCAAUAUUU
Cyanistes caeruleus (blue tit) is the source of this 491-nucleotide non-coding RNA. Lineage: Eukaryota; Metazoa; Chordata; Aves; Passeriformes; Paridae. The record is from RefSeq and is a predicted model, not a curated record.